This 666-nucleotide long non-coding RNA is filed under the name Monodelphis domestica (gray short-tailed opossum). RNAcentral describes it as "lncRNA (ENSMODG00000042344.1)". Lineage: Eukaryota; Metazoa; Chordata; Mammalia; Didelphimorphia; Didelphidae. The record is from RNAcentral.
CUCGGGGGCAGCGGGACUAUGCAUUUCUUUCAUUUUGUGUGGGUGGCAGGGGUGAAAGUGGAGGACAAAAGGAACCCUGUCCCAUUUCCUGCUUGUGUUUUUCACUUGUGAAUAAGCACUGCCUGGGAUCACUUGAAAGAUUUCUUCAUCUGUGGUCCCUUGUGUGUCGCAAGGGACACAUUCCCUCUCCAGAACGAGAACAGAGAGAUGACUAAACAAGAGAAAUUCCGUGACUCCAUCUUAAGAGCUUUCUCAGACACCUCUUUCUCCUGCCAGAGCCUCUCUUGCCAGCUAUAUGCAGUUUAGUGUCUUGGGGCUCGGGGUGGAAGGACACAGAAAUCGAUCCAUUCGGGUCCAUUUGGGGCUAGCUAAGUAGCAAUCCCGAUGUUGCUGUAGUUCCUUGUAACAACUACCUACUUGACAUCUUUCAUGAAACAAGGGGCAAUGCAGUGAUCCUGAACAACUUGGAGGAAUUUACAAGAAAAACCACUAUCCAAAUUCAGAGGAAAAACUGUGGGAGUAGAAACACAGAAGAAAAACAACUGCUUGAAUACAUGGGUCGAGGGGAUAUGGCUGGAAGAAUCCCAAGUAUUCCUCUGAGGGAGUCAUCCCAUGUGACAAAUAGUAUUUUUUUAGAGAAGAAAAAAAAUCAGCACAACUAAUCAA